This 983-nucleotide ribosomal RNA is filed under the name Enterococcus faecium. Its description in RNAcentral is "bacterial SSU rRNA". It matches the Rfam family "Bacterial small subunit ribosomal RNA", at positions 8 to 961 of the family's 1533-position model. The record is from RNAcentral. Lineage: Bacteria; Bacillati; Bacillota; Bacilli; Lactobacillales; Enterococcaceae.
AGAGUUUGAUCCUGGCUCAGGACGAACGCUGGCGGCGUGCCUAAUACAUGCAAGUCGAACGCUUCUUUUUCCACCGGAGCUUGCUCCACCGGAAAAAGAGGAGUGGCGAACGGGUGAGUAACACGUGGGUAACCUGCCCAUCAGAAGGGGAUAACACUUGGAAACAGGUGCUAAUACCGUAUAACAAUCAAAACCGCAUGGUUUUGAUUUGAAAGGCGCUUUCGGGUGUCGCUGAUGGAUGGACCCGCGGUGCAUUAGCUAGUUGGUGAGGUAACGGCUCACCAAGGCCACGAUGCAUAGCCGACCUGAGAGGGUGAUCGGCCACAUUGGGACUGAGACACGGCCCAAACUCCUACGGGAGGCAGCAGUAGGGAAUCUUCGGCAAUGGACGAAAGUCUGACCGAGCAACGCCGCGUGAGUGAAGAAGGUUUUCGGAUCGUAAAACUCUGUUGUUAGAGAAGAACAAGGAUGAGAGUAACUGUUCAUCCCUUGACGGUAUCUAACCAGAAAGCCACGGCUAACUACGUGCCAGCAGCCGCGGUAAUACGUAGGUGGCAAGCGUUGUCCGGAUUUAUUGGGCGUAAAGCGAGCGCAGGCGGUUUCUUAAGUCUGAUGUGAAAGCCCCCGGCUCAACCGGGGAGGGUCAUUGGAAACUGGGAGACUUGAGUGCAGAAGAGGAGAGUGGAAUUCCAUGUGUAGCGGUGAAAUGCGUAGAUAUAUGGAGGAACACCAGUGGCGAAGGCGGCUCUCUGGUCUGUAACUGACGCUGAGGCUCGAAAGCGUGGGGAGCAAACAGGAUUAGAUACCCUGGUAGUCCACGCCGUAAACGAUGAGUGCUAAGUGUUGGAGGGUUUCCGCCCUUCAGUGCUGCAGCUAACGCAUUAAGCACUCCGCCUGGGGAGUACGACCGCAAGGUUGAAACUCAAAGGAAUUGACGGGGGCCCGCACAAGCGGUGGAGCAUGUGGUUUAAUUCGAAGCAACG